Molecule: long non-coding RNA, 355 nt
Filed under: Mytilus galloprovincialis (Mediterranean mussel)
Lineage: Eukaryota; Metazoa; Mollusca; Bivalvia; Mytilida; Mytilidae
Source: RNAcentral
AUUGUGUUAUGAAAAUUAUUGACGUUGUAAUGUUGAUGUCCUUUGCGGCCCAUAAUUGGAAAUAAAAUAUUUUCUUCUUCUUCUGUGCAAAAUCGAACAGAAAUCUAAUUAAGCAACAGACGAAAGGAAUAUUCUGUGUCAGAAAAAUCAUCUUGGUGCCCCCAGAAUAUAAAAAAGUCAUCCCGUUUAUUAAUUGAUGUCCAUAUUGUAUUUACUUAAAAAAAAACACUCGAUGUGACAAAAUAUAAUAGUUUGUAUAAGUAUGCAUGUCAGCAUGUAAAAAUGUAAUCUCUCGACCGAACAAGAUAGGUAGUCCAGGUCGUAAAAUACUUUCAUCAACAUUUGUACAUGGUUG